AACGCGAAGAACCUUACCUGGGCUCGAAAUGCUAUGGACCAGCUGAUGAAAGUCGGCCUUCCCGCAAGGGACCGUAGUAUAGGUGCUGCAUGGCUGUCGUCAGCUCGUGCCGUGAGGUGUUGGGUUAAGUCCCGCAACGAGCGCAACCCUUACUCGUAGUUGCCACCCGCAAGGGGGAACUCUACGAGGACUGCUCCGGAUAACGGAGAGGAAGGUGGGGAUGACGUCAAGUCAGCACGGCCUUUAUGUCCAGGGCUACACACGUGUUACAAUGCAUGGUACAGACUGUUGCGAACCCGCGAGGGGGAGCUAAUCGGACAAAGCCAUGCUCAGUUCGGAUUGCAGUCUGCAACUCGGCUGCAUGAAGCUGGAAUCGCUAGUAAUGGCGCAUCAGAUCGGCGCCGUGAAUACGUUCCCGGGCCUUGUACACACCGGCUAC
This 439-nucleotide ribosomal RNA is filed under the name uncultured bacterium. RNAcentral's name for it is "bacterial SSU rRNA". It matches the Rfam family "Bacterial small subunit ribosomal RNA", at positions 958 to 1397 of the family's 1533-position model. The record is from RNAcentral.